Molecule: long non-coding RNA, 1170 nt
Filed under: Homo sapiens (human)
Lineage: Eukaryota; Metazoa; Chordata; Mammalia; Primates; Hominidae
Description: non-protein coding lnc-GPR148-2:9
Source: RNAcentral
UAUGUGUGGGGAAGUUUCCUGGUACAAAGGAAAAAAAAACAGGACCUAAGUCAAUGUUAGUCUACCACUGUACGUCUGGUAACCUCAAUCCCUGCAACCGGAGCAAAAUGUGGAUUCCAGGUCUUGGCAACCUUUGAAAUUCCAAUUCCAUUUGCAAGAGCUUUGAGGAGGCCAUAUGCUGAUUUCACCACAAGCAACUUCACAACCCAGUACUGGAAUGCCAUCAGCCAGCAGGCCCCUGCCAUUAUCUGUGACUUCUAUCUGUGGCUCAUUGGAAGGAAACCCAGGCUACCGAAGGAAGAUACCCUCAUCAACCCAAUUUUACAAAUGGAGAAAUAGAAGCUCAGGGAAGAAUCUGAAGUAGUCUCAAAGGAAGUGACAGGAAGGAUGUGGAGAAAGCUGAGUGUCAAAGUCAGUAUUCAGGACCGGCUUUACUGCUACUUAGAGAUGAAUGAAGAAAUCAGAGGGAACGCAGUGUGCUGAUGCUAAAGCGGCUGUCACCACCCAGCUGUGUGACAUAGGACAUCUUCUUUCUCUGUCUCACUUGAAUAAUAUGAUGUGUCAGAGGAGACAUGAUUGUAAUUGCCUAAAGCAAUUCUUGUGAUCAAGAAUCAGAAGCAUGAACAGUAUUGCCCUCUGUGUUAGCCCCUUUAUAAGGGAGGAAGUCAUCUUCAGCAUGCUGAAUUGUCAUCUUUCUUAGCAGUGCAAAUGACUAAAACUUAGCCAAUGUAGAGUUUGUCCAAAUUUGGAGCUCAUAACUCAGUUCUUGAGCAAAGUGAAAAGAAAACAUUGUGAUUAUGGGGAAAAUAUUUGUACGGGACUUAUCAAAUAAAGAUAGUUUUUCACAAAAUCUGAGGAGCUGAUACGGAAAGCACACCAGAUCUCAUGUGUUGAAAUGUGAACAUGCUCACCACAGACCAAGGACAUUCAACCUGUCAAUCCCCAGGAUUUCCAAGCCAGGAGUUUCAUCUCUUACUUGUGGAAAAUUUGUCCAUUUAAUUGUGAACCAAUCAGCUUUUCAUUGUGUCAAAAUCAAAUCUGGAUAGUGAAAUAUAUAUUUUAUCUUUAUUGUUAUCUUAAAUAUAUCUUGGCUUAAAGAGACAUAAGUAGCUCUUCCCCACUACACCAGAUAAUGAGUUGCAAAUAAAUCAUUCAGUAGUAAAGUUCAAA